GAUGAACGCUGGCGGCAUGCCUAAUACAUGCAAGUCGAGCGAACGGACGAGAAGCUUGCUUCUCUGAUGUUAGCGGCGGACGGGUGAGUAACACGUGGAUAACCUACCUAUAAGACUGGGAUAACUUCGGGAAACCGGAGCUAAUACCGGAUAAUAUUUUGAACCGCAUGGUUCAAAAGUGAAAGACGGUCUUGCUGUCACUUAUAGAUGGAUCCGCGCUGCAUUAGCUAGUUGGUAAGGUAACGGCUUACCAAGGCAACGAUGCAUAGCCGACCUGAGAGGGUGAUCGGCCACACUGGAACUGAGACACGGUCCAGACUCCUACGGGAGGCAGCAGUAGGGAAUCUUCCGCAAUGGGCGAAAGCCUGACGGAGCAACGCCGCGUGAGUGAUGAAGGUCUUCGGAUCGUAAAGCUCUGUUAUUAGGGAAGAGUAUAUGUGUAAGUAACUGUGCACAUCUUGACGGUACCUAAUCAGAAAGCCACGGCUAACUACGUG
Molecule: ribosomal RNA, 497 nt
Filed under: uncultured bacterium
Lineage: Bacteria
Description: partial 16S ribosomal RNA
Rfam family: Bacterial small subunit ribosomal RNA
Source: RNAcentral